UUAACUCAAAUUUGUAUGGAGUUGGAUCGUUUGCCUACGUUUGCCGCUAGGGGCGCUGUUCCAACUGCAUACGAAUUUGAGUUA
Non-coding RNA from Bombyx mori (domestic silkworm), 84 nucleotides. The record is from Rfam. NCBI's taxonomy places the organism in Eukaryota, Metazoa, Arthropoda, Insecta, Lepidoptera, Bombycidae.